GGAGCUGUAGCUCAGUUGGUAGAGCGACAAGCUUAUACCUUGUUGGUCCCUGGUCCGAGUCCAGGCAGCUCCA
RNAcentral lists this transfer RNA (73 nucleotides) under bacterium. RNAcentral's name for it is "tRNA-Ile". It matches the Rfam family "tRNA". Rfam says of the family: Transfer RNA (tRNA) molecules are approximately 80 nucleotides in length. Their secondary structure includes four short double-helical elements and three loops (D, anti-codon, and T loops). The record is from RNAcentral.